CCUACGGGAGGCAGCAGUGAGGAAUAUUGGUCAAUGGGCGAGAGCCUGAACCAGCCAAGUCGCGUGAGGGAGUACUGCCCUAUGGGUUGUAAACCUCUUUUGUCGGGGAGCAAAAGCCGGACGUGUCCGGCUGUGAGCGUACCCGAAGAAAAAGCAUCGGCUAACUCCGUGCCAGCAGCCGCGGUAAUACGGAGGAUGCGAGCGUUAUCCGGAUUUAUUGGGGUUAAAGGGUGCGCAGGCGGAUUUUUAAGUCAGCGGUCAAAUCGUGGGGCUCAACCCCAUCCAGCCGUUGAAACUGGGGAUCUAGAGUGUGCGAGAGGUAGGCGGAAUGCGUGGUGUAGCGGUGAAAUGCAUAGAUAUCACGCAGAACCCCGAUUGCGAAGGCAGCAUACCGGUGCACAACUGACGCUCAGGCACGAAAGCGUGGGUAUCGAACAGGAUUAGAUACCCUUGUAGUC
Molecule: ribosomal RNA, 458 nt
Filed under: uncultured bacterium
Lineage: Bacteria
Description: partial 16S ribosomal RNA
Rfam family: Bacterial small subunit ribosomal RNA
Source: RNAcentral